This 5464-nucleotide long non-coding RNA is filed under the name Marmota monax (woodchuck). Lineage: Eukaryota; Metazoa; Chordata; Mammalia; Rodentia; Sciuridae. The record is from RNAcentral.
UGAAAAACAAAGCCAAAUUGAACGAGCCAUUAGGGAAAAAAAAGCUGUGGAAGAAGAACUAGAAAAGGUAAAAAGAAAAAGGAAAUAUACCUACCUAAAACACAACUACAAAUAUCCAACAAUUUUGUCUGCUUUCAUCACAUUAUCUACUAGCAACCCUUGUAUUUAUAAGUAUUCUCCUGGUGAGUGUUUUUAUUUUCUUGGAAUAUACUCAGAGUCUUCAUUUAAAUUCUGGUAUUGCCUGCAUACAUUUCUUUCCAAGAACAAUCAUAUUCUUUGACCAUAAAACUCCUUGCUUAACUGUAUCCCAAUAGGAAGUUUCAUUUUUUAAUUUUAUGUCAACUCUCUCUGGGGUUAGACCAUCUACAAAAAUAACAAAAUAAUUAACUAGAAAAUUAUAACAUUGCUAUGAUUUUUGCCUUUAAAAUUAUAAUAAUUAGGAAAAAUAUUGACCUCAAUUAAAUUUGAGAAAAACUUUAAAAUUUCUUUCUUUCUUACACUUUUUUUUUUUUGUACUGAGGAUUGAACCCAGGGGUGCUCAACCACUGAGCCACAUCCCCAGCCCUUUUUUUAUAUUUUGCUUAGAGACAGGGUCUCACUGAGUUGCAAAGUUUCUCGCCAAGUUGCAAAGGCUGACUUUGAGCUCGCAAUCCUUCUGCCUCAGCCUCCCGAGUUGCUAGGAUUACAGGCAUGUGCCAUAUAGCUUACCUCUUUACGCUUUUUUAUUAGCAACAAAUAUCACAUUUUUUUAAAGUGCCUUGGGAAAAGAAAAGACCAAAUUUGAACAUACAAUAUUUUAGAUGCUGUAUUAGGAACUGUCCUAGAGUAGUAAAUAACUUGUCCAAUAUUAAGAAAUAGUAAAUGAUAGUAAGCAUUUGACUUUCAAAGAUGAGCUACAUAGACAAAAAAUCAUGUGAUAUAUCCAUGUUCUCAAAAAUCAUGACACCAGAUAGUAAAAUAAUAAUUUAUAAAACAGAACUUGGUAUACAGCCUGAUUUUCAAGAAAAGAAAUGUAUACGUGUGUUCAAAGUGAGACCUUCCUGGUUACCACGCUCCUGGAAGGUAGAUCCUUGUGAGUCUCCAUCUGUCAGGUUGGGUCCUCUUUAGCUUGCCACCUGCUGCUGUACAUUGGGGUUUGAGGAAUUCUUGAUCACUACUUGGGUUGGAUCAAGGAAUAGGCUCCACUGGGGAAAUGGAGCACCUUCAAGGCUGAAGACAGCAGGCAGAGCAAAGGCACACUCCCUGCUCUCUCCCUGUCCCACAGGCCAGCCUGCCUGGUCACAGUCCUGCUGAGACUGAAGUGCAGUUGUGCUAGCAACACCAUGCAGAUAUGCUGGUGCUCUGCCUUUUCAUAGUGCAGGUGUGACAGCAGUCUAGUCAGUGGAGAAGACACAGGUUGUGUGGCCAGGUGGUCUGGAUCUGGGGAGUAGCUGGGUGGGACUUAUCAAAAUGGAGAAUACUACCAUCUGAAGACCUUGCUUCCCUUGGGGUGUGUCAGCCCCUGUGCUGUAAGUGCAAGUCCAGAGUCUCAUGAGAAGCUAAGCUGGGGUUCAGCCACUGCUGGGGAAGGGGAACUCCCAUAGCUACAUCACUGUCCAGAUAAGCCAGAGGGAGAUUCUGGAGCCAGAUAGUUCUACUCAUUGCAGUAUUUCAAUUUUGGUAAAUUGUCUCAAAGGUUGUUUAUCAAAGAAUUGCCAGUGGUUAUCUCUAAGUUGACAUUUAUAGUAUGUUUUGUUUUGUUUUUAGCUUUGGCUGCUUUACAUUUCAUAUUAUUAGCAUGAGUAAUUUUUUAAAAAUAAGUGAUUAUAUCUCAGUUUUCAGCAAUUUAUUUUGUAAAUGUGAAGCAAUUAGAAUUAAUCUUUGAUGUGUUUUAAUACAUUAUAGUGGAAACAGAUGAAUACAUGAUUGUGACUUUUUGUCAUCAUUGAUUUCAGUAUCUAAACUGUAUAAUUUAUUAAGAGGGUUUCCUUCUAUAAGGAAGUACACAUAUAAGCCUCUUCUGCAGAUUUACCGUGAAGGCAGAGGGAAUGAAAGUGACUACAGAAAACUGGAAGAAAUGCACCAAAGAUAUCUGAUUGCAGAGAGCUCAAAAGACGAUCUUCAGCUAAGACUUAAGAAAGCAGAAAGUAGAAUAAAACAACUUGAAAUUAAGUAAGUUUUCUUUUGGGUUUUCUGUGAUGACAUCUUCAGAAUUCCCAUGAUUUUUGAGAUUCCUGGGUGUGUGUGUGUGAGAGAGAGAGAGAGAGAGAGAGAGAGAGAGAGGACUCAUACAUCUUGUGUUGAAAGGACCAAAUACAGUUUUUUUCAAGACUAUUUCAAAAAACCAGUUUCUUCAGAAGGAAAAGAUUUAACAGUGGCAUACCAUUUUUUUUUCAUACUAUGUAAUUAUUGUAAUAGUUUGUAAUUAUCUUUAGUAUGUUUCUUGCGAUAUUGCAUAUUAUUUAAUGAACCAUCAUGUUUAUUACAUUAUCUAUAAAAGUGAUAAACCUAUAAAAUGCCAUAUCCCUUCUGAAUUUACUUUUUUUCACCAGAAUGUUACUUAAGUAUAGUAAAGAUUUAUUUAAAUUACCUGAAACUCUAAUCUCUAUAUAUAUUCAAAAGAUAUUUUUUAAAUGAAGACAAUUUUAUUUCUUAAAAUACAUACACUAAUACCUGAAGUGUUUUUUCAAAAGGAGAUUCUGCAUAUUUGUUUCAUAAACAUAUUGUUAUUUUCAGUAAUCUAGAUAAUUGCUUGUGUGAUUACUUCCAAAGGAAGCAUGCAGAAGGAGCCAGUAUAUUCCUAGAAAUUCUUGUAUGUACUAAGAAAGGUUUCUCUCAAUACCAUGUGUUCGUUCAUAGGAGUCCCUCCACUGCACAUCCCUUCACAUCCUGCAUUUGUUUUAAUUCACAGUGUCUCUCUAUUUAUGUGUUUUUCUGAGUAAAAAGAGAAGUCACUGAAGUCUUCUUCAUGUUCCUUAUAUUCACAUUUUUUCUUCAGGGUGAAUUCACAUGUGUUUUCUACAGGACACAGUCACAAAAAACUACUUCCUCAUUUCUUUCAUUCAUAAUGUUUGUGUGAAUUUUCAUAUGUUCCUCAACUAUCCAGGGAAAACUGAAGGCUAUCCUACUUUCCUUACAUUUGUGAGGUUUCUUUUUAGUUGUAUGUUCACAUUUUUCUUCAGGAAUGAAAAGAAAGUAAAUAUUUUUCCACAUUUCAUACAUUUGUAAGAUUUUAUUCCACUGUAAAUUCCUCAUGAAUUUUGAGAUAUAAGGAAAAAUCUAAGACUUUUCCACAUUGUUCACACAUUAAUGUAGUUUCUCUUGGGGCUUUUAUUUACUUCCUAAAGAAGAUUAACAAUUUAAAGUUAUUUCACUUCUUAACAGAGUUUUACUCCAGCAUGGGUUCCCACUUCUUUCCUAAAGGUUGAGUAACAACUAAGGGUGGUCCAUAUUUCCUACUCACAAGGAUAUCUGUAUGUGUGUGUGUGUGUGUGUGUGUAUUGUUUGUGUAUAUAUGUGUGUGUACACACGUACAUAUCCUUGUUUGUAUGUAUAUAUCGACAUAUAUUGCUUCCCUCUACCGUGAGUUCAUUCAUGUUUGUUAAAGUGUGUAAGAUAUAUAGUCUUUCCUAUGUUCUUGACUUGCAUGGGAAUUUUUCUAAUGUAAACAUAAGACAAUGGAAAAUUUUAAAGACUUACCCACAUUUAUUACAUCAUAUGCUUUUUCCCCCAUGUGAGUUCUUACAUAUUCAGUGAAAGAUUAGUACUAUCUAAAGGCUUUCCUAUUUUCCUUACUUCCAUAUGAGUUCUCUCCACUAUAAAGUCUUAUAGGUUACAUAAGGUAUAAGAUGUUUGAAGUCUUUCCCACAACCCUCAAUUGUAGAAGUCUCUCCCAGUAUGCAUUUGAAUAUAUUGAAUAAGGUGUGAAGAUUAGAUGAAAUGCUUUCCCAUGUUCCUUACAUGCAAAAAGCUUCUCUCCAUUUAUAGGCUUCUUGAGUUCUUUUGCUUCAUUAAGGAAAUGGGAGUUGCUAAAGACUUCCAAACACCCUGUACAAGUAGUAUACUUCUUUCUGGGAUUAAUUGUUCCAUGUUUGUUAGGACAUGAGAAAGUAGCAAAGACUACCCCACAUUCCCUACACACAAAGGACUUUUCUCCAAUGUAAAUUUUUACAUGCGCUUGGAGGUGCACGAGAUAAAGGUUUUCGUACAGUCACUUCGUUCAAAGGUUUUCUCUUAAUUGUGAAUUUUCCUGUCCAUUUCUGGUUUCAGGAAUGCUAGGACUGCUUUUUCUUAGUCUUCAUUUGUCUCUAGGUUUCCCUUCUUCUUCAAUUUUUUUCACCAAAUAAUUUGAUUAAAAAACAGUUCUUUGUACUGUAAAGUUUCCUCUACUCAAGACAUAUAUGUGCUGUCAUUCACUUGGUUUUUCUGUUCCAUUGUGGACUUUUUGACUUUUGACAGAGGGCACAGAAACGUGUGGUUGUUUCUGAUCUUAGCAUUUUUCUGAUAUUAGCAUUCUUUUAUUAUCAUUGCUUGGAUACCUCCUUUCAUUAGCAACUCUGUCAACCAACCUUUAAACAGAAGAAGAAGAGCAGCAUGUUUAGUGGAAUCAAAGAUUUAAUAUAGAAAUCAGAGCAUACAAGAAUGUGGGAGGAACUGGGGAAGCAAAGAUACAGCAGGGAGGCAGUAAAGGUCAGAAAAUAAGUAACCGUGUCUGCCUCAACUUAAGCCAUUACAAUAUAAAUAUAGAAGUGAUAUUGUUUGAUAUUGAUAGGUGUUUACUCUGAUACCUAUUGACCAGGAAUGUUCGGAGUGGUGAUUAUCUGGGAUGGAAAAGAUGAAAAUUUUAGAAAAUAGGAAUAAAAAUUAGAAGUGUAUUUAUUGAAGUACAUGUUGAACCAUACAUGUUGAGAGUUUAUCUCACCUAAUAAUCCAUGACUGAGAAAGUUCAAGAAACAUAACCUGAUACCUAUGGUAAAACAAGUUUACACAACUAGAAUUUGUAAAACCAUUUCUAAGACAUGAAACAAGAAAAUAUGAAAAUAGAUUUUAUCAUAAUCUCAUAGUGUAGUCAACUGUUAUGUUUUCCCGUGGAGUUUACUGAUGAAGCAAAGUUUUGAUUAUGAUUAUGUUAUUUAUUGUCUUCAGUUUGUUCCUUGAAAAGUCCUUAUACAAUGAUUCUCAGUGUUAGUAAAAAGUUGAAAUAAGUUUCACAUCGAUUUUCCAGAUGAGUGGUAACAGUCGUUUGUCUGUUCUUAGUUAAGAUUGUUAAAUAUAUUUGCCUUCAUUGUUAAAUGUAUUACAUAGCAUUUUGAAACCACAUAAAUAUAAAGUAAAAAAAUGGCUCUGAAUAAAGGAAACAGAAGUCUGUACUAGAAAAGGUGGGUAGACAUUUUGAUUUCUGCUAUUGGUCAUUAAGAGUUAAGAGUUCUUUUUGCCUUUUUUAAAAAUCAGCUCCUCAGAAGAGAUAUCACGUUCCCAUGAAAUG